RNAcentral lists this unclassified non-coding RNA (140 nucleotides) under uncultured Fusarium. RNAcentral's name for it is "sequence contains ITS1". The record is from RNAcentral. Lineage: Eukaryota; Fungi; Ascomycota; Sordariomycetes; Hypocreales; Nectriaceae.
CCGAGUUUACAACUCCCAAACCCCUGUGAACAUACCUUAAUGUUGCCUCGGCGGAUCAGCCCGCGCCCCGUAAAACGGGACGGCCCGCCAGAGGACCCAAACUCUAAUGUUAGUGUCGUCUGAGUACUAUAUAAUAGUUA